AUUCCAGCUCCAAUAGCGUAUAUUAAAGUUGUUGCAGUUAAAAAGCUCGUAGUUGAAUUUCUGGUCUUGGACGGCGGUCUGUCUCAAACGAGGUACGCACCAUCUGUCCGGGUCCAUCCUCGGGGAAAACACAUCUGUGAUUCAGUUCAUGGGUAUGGGAUCCUCGUCAUUUACUGUGAGCAAAAUAGGGUGUUCAAAGCAGGCUUAUGCCGUUGAAUACAUUAGCAUGGAAUAAUAAGAUAAGACCUUGGUCUAUUUUGUUGGUUUGCAUUCCAAGGUAAUGAUUAAUAGGGAUAGUUGGGGGCAUUCGUAUUUAACAGUCAGAGGCGAAAUUCUUGGAUUUGUUAAAGACGGACUACUGCGAAAGCAUUUGCCAAGGAUGUUUUCAUUG
This 391-nucleotide ribosomal RNA is filed under the name Chrysophyceae sp. RNAcentral describes it as "partial small subunit ribosomal RNA". It matches the Rfam family "Eukaryotic small subunit ribosomal RNA", at positions 582 to 975 of the family's 1831-position model. Lineage: Eukaryota; Chrysophyceae. The record is from RNAcentral.